Molecule: long non-coding RNA, 2830 nt
Organism: Ostrinia nubilalis (European corn borer)
Lineage: Eukaryota; Metazoa; Arthropoda; Insecta; Lepidoptera; Crambidae
Exons: 2
Source: RefSeq, a predicted model, not a curated record
CUUCAUUUCAGACACUUCUCUCAUCUGCAACACAAACAUUAAAUCACUGAAUAAUUACUACGUUGGAAAAAGAAGAUGCAGAUGAAGAAUGUCCUUUUUCCUUAAUUCCAUUCUUCCUUAGGCUUUAUCCAUCGUCCGCCAUAAAAAUACAAGCACCUCUAUCUUGAAAACAUUGUUACGAUACGAUUUUAUUAUAGUGUUUAGUAUUGUUUGAUUAAGUUUUGAGCGGACUUUUUCAACAGUUAUGGAUAUAAAUAAUCCUCAAAGUCAAAGUUACUGGUUUGUGGUACGAGAAGACCAAAGUAAUGUUUAUAAUUUCACGAUACAAAAUCCGCCUCUCGCUAAUCAAGAGGCAAGAUAUAUUGUUGAUGCUGUAGACCAUCGACAGUAUUUUCAAAUAAAUGAAGCCCCAGUCGUCAUACCUGAGGACACUAUACAAAACUGUGACAAGGAAGUUCCUAAACAAGAAGAAGAAAACUUCUGGGAUCGGAACAAAAUUAAGAUGUUACUCACACUUUGCCUUGAAAAUAGGUUUAAGAAUGCUACCAAAGACAGAAGCUUGUGGAAUGAAAUUGCCUGUUUAGUUGGAGCCACAUCAGAUGAAUGUAGCAAAAAGUAUAAAAACCUUCGAAGAACCUACAUAAGACUAUUGAAAAAGAAAAGAAUGGGUAAGGAUAUCAAAUGGGUUCAUUUUAAUAUCUGUGAAGAAGUAUUCAAAGAAUGCAAAUCAUUGCCAUCUUCUAUCUUAGAGCCGUGGGAAGAUGGUAAAGUUAGGAGGCUAUUAAGUCUCUACAUAGAGAAUCUAAACAGAUUCCGGAGCUCAGAUUGUCUUCAAAAAGAAAUUUGGAAGGAUAUAGCCACAGCAUUGAACACAACAGAGUACAAUUGCUACCAUAAGUUUAAGAAUCUAAAGAGAAAUUAUUUCAACUGCCUGGGACGAAGUCAAGAGAGUGGGAAACUAAUGAAAUGGCAAUACAGUCAGUAUUUUGAAAGAAUUUUCUAUAACUACAACCCUACUGUGGGACCCUGGGACAGAGCCAAGACAAGCCAGCUGAUCCAGGCUUACAGCCAAGCGGCACACAAAUUCAGAAACCCUAGAUACCAAAAGAAAGAACUUUGGAAAGAAAUCUCAACAGUUGUAGGUGUGAGUCCUUUUCAAUGUGAUAAAAAGUUUAGAAAUUUAAAACAGACUUUUAUCAGAUUAAAAAUGAAAGCCAAUUCAGGAAAGUCCACAAAAUGGAGAUAUUAUAAGGAUUUUGAAACAAUCUUUAACAAGUCAUCAUACCCAUCUAACAAUGAUAAUGUAGUAGAAAAAGUAGUUUACAAGUAUCAAGAUGAUGAUUAUGUUGACCAGCUGCUAAAAUACUAUUUAGAGAAUAAGGAUAAGUUCAAUGAUCCACUUGUGAAGAAGAGAAAUGUAUGGAAGAUUAUUGCCUCUAGGUUGGGACUCGCUAUAGAAGAAUGUGAUAGAAAGUUUCGUAACUUGAAGCAAACAUAUAUGAGGUUAAGAGAGAAAAAGUUGGCCACUGGAAAGUGCAAUAACUGGCCUUAUUAUCACUUGUUUGAAAUGAUUUAUGACGAACCUAAGUCUUUAGGAACAGGGUACAGUCACAGUGAAGAAAUGGAGCAAAAGUUUGCAUCAGAAAUUAAAAGGGAGUUGAGAAAUAUGCAAGAAAAAAGGGAUAGAGAGAAAUUUGAAACACUUGUAAAAGCAAUAGAAGAGUCCAACAGUAUUCAGAGAGAAAGAAAUAGAAUUCUUCAAGCUUUAUUAGACAGAAAAUAAGAUGUUCACCAUAAUGAGUCACUGCCUCCAGAAAUCACCUCAGGUAAAUUGGGAAACAUUACAAAAAAAACACUUAAUUAUUUGGUAUUAAGUAGUAGUUAAUAAUAUAGAAUACCAAUACUUGUUACGAUUUUUGCUAUAAAUUUUUCUAAAACGAUUCGAUACGAGUGACUGACGACCGAUUCUGUAUCGAUACUUGACGACCGGAUGCUAUAUCGAUACUUGAUGACGGAUACUGUAUCGAUACUUGACGACCGAUACUGCAUCGAUACUUGACGACGGAUACUGAAUCGAAACUUGACGACCGAUACUGUAUCGAGUAAAAGUAUCGAUACCUCGAUGGUAUCGUUUCAUUCCCCCCCUACUCCUCUCCUCCUUGGUGGAAAAACCGCGGGCCUUAUAAACAGGUACUUAACCGGGUGGAAACCGCGGCGAGUCUUACAAUAAAAACUUCUGAACCAAUUUUGAUUGAACUAACGACAACAACACAACUUGUAUAAAGGACAUCAUCCACGUUUCAUAUAUUUUUGGUCCAUAAUCAAAAGUGCCGGCCAAUAAAAAGAAGUGCUGUAUUCUGACAGAAUACGUCCGCCUUAGCAUUUGUUACUAUGACACCAAAGCUGUAGCACCACUGUGCGUCGUAGUAUUUGAGAUCAAAGUCAGUCGUUUCAUAUAUUUUUAGAACUCAAAAGGUCAAAUACUACGAUGCACAGUUGUGCUACAGCUUUGGUGCCAUAGUAAUAAAUGCUAAGGCGGACGUAUUCUAUCAGAAUACAGCACUUUUAUUUUUUGGCCGGCACUUUUGAUUUUUUGGACCAAAAUGGAUGAUGUCCUUACCUACUAUUUCUCAUGUGACUAAGGUUUUUAAUGAGAAAUAAAUGUUCUUUAAAACUAACGAGAUGGAUAAUAUAACCUUAUGUACAUACAUUAUACCCUGUCAAAUAAAUUUUGAAAUCUGUUUACAAGUGAAUGAGACAAAACCUAUGUGACAAUCAAAUUGAAAACCUUUUGAAGUGGGUUAAAUAAAAGGCGUAAAAUGUUUAGAAA